Molecule: ribosomal RNA, 429 nt
Filed under: Bacteroidota bacterium
Lineage: Bacteria; Pseudomonadati; Bacteroidota
Description: Bacteroidetes bacterium partial 16S ribosomal RNA
Rfam family: Bacterial small subunit ribosomal RNA
Source: RNAcentral
UAGGGAAUCUUCGGCAAUGGGGGGAACCCUGACCGAGCAACGCCGCGUGAGUGAAGAAGGUUUUCGGAUCGUAAAGCUCUGUUGUUAAGGAAGAACGAGUGUGAGAAUGGAAAGUUCAUGCUGUGACGGUACUUAACCAGAAAGGGACGGCUAACUACGUGCCAGCAGCCGCGGUAAUACGUAGGUCCCGAGCGUUGUCCGGAUUUAUUGGGCGUAAAGCGAGCGCAGGCGGUUAGAAAAGUCUGAAGUGAAAGGCAGUGGCUCAACCAUUGUAGGCUUUGGAAACUGUUUAACUUGAGUGCAGAAGGGGAGAGUGGAAUUCCAUGUGUAGCGGUGAAAUGCGUAGAUAUAUGGAGGAACACCGGUGGCGAAAGCGGCUCUCUGGUCUUUAACUGACGCUGAGGCUCGAAAGCGUGGGGAGCGAACAGG